GACGAACGCUGGCGGCGUGCUUAACACAUGCAAGUCGAACGGAAAGGCCCUGCUUUUGUGGGGUGCUCGAGUGGCGAACGGGUGAGUAACACGUGAGUAACCUGCCCUUGACUUUGGGAUAACUUCAGGAAACUGGGGCUCAUACCGGAUAGGAGCUCCUGCUGCAUGGUGGGGGUUGGAAAGUUUCGGCGGUUGGGGAUGGACUCGCGGCUUAUCAGCUUGUUGGUGGGGUAGUGGCUUACCAAGGCUUUGACGGGUAGCCGGCCUGAGAGGGUGAACGGCCACAUUGGGACUGAGAUACGGCCCAGACGCCUACGGGAGGCAGCAGUGGGGAAUAUUGCAGAAUGGGCGGAAGCCUGAUGCAGCAACGCCGCGUGCGGGAUGACGGCCUUCGGGUUGUAAACCGCUUUCGCAUGUGACGAAGCGUGAGUGACGGUAAUGGGUAAAGAAGCACCGGCUAACUACGUG
RNAcentral lists this ribosomal RNA (468 nucleotides) under uncultured bacterium. RNAcentral describes it as "partial 16S ribosomal RNA". It matches the Rfam family "Bacterial small subunit ribosomal RNA", at positions 28 to 507 of the family's 1533-position model. The record is from RNAcentral.